GAUAGUUUGAUCCUGGCUCAGGAUGAACGCUAGCGGUAUGCUUAACACAUGCAAGUCGAACGAAAAAAUUUGAGAUGAUUAAAGAAAUUUAAAAAAAUCUAUUUUUUAGUGGCGAACGGGUGAGUAAUGCGUGAGAAUUUGCCUUUAGGAGGAGGAUAACUAUUAGAAACAAUAGCUAAUACUCCGUAAAGUCUUAUUAUUUAAGAUGAAAGAAGAAAUUCGCCUAAAGAGAAGCUCACGUCUGAUUAGCUAGUUGGUAGGGUAAAGGCCUACCAAGGCGACGAUCAGUAGCUGGUUUGAGAGGAUGAUCAGCCACAUUGGAACUGAGAUACGGUCCAAACUCCUACGGGAGGCAGCAGUGGGGAAUUUUCUGCAAUGGGCGAAAGCCUGACAGAGCAAUACCGCGUGAGGGAACGAAGGCUUUCGAGUUGUAAACCUCUUUUUUCAAGGAUGAAGAUCUGACAGUACUUGAAGAAUAAGCAUCGGCUAACUCUGUGCCAGCAGCCGCGGUAAUACAGGGGAUGCAAGUGUUAUCCGGAAUUAUUGGGCGUAAAGCGUCUGUAGGUUGAUUUAUAAGUCUUUUGUUAAAUAUUUAAGCUUAACUUAAAAAAUGCAAAGGAAACUAUUUAUCUAGAGUUUGGUAGAGGUAAAGGGAAUUUCCAGUGAAAUGGUGAAAUAUUUAGAUAUUGGAAAGAACACCAAGGGCGAAGGCAUUUUACUGGGCCAUAACUGACACUGAGAGACGAAAGCUAGGGGAGCAAACGGGAUUAGAUACCCCGGUAGUCCUAGCCGUAAACGAUGGAUACUUGAUGUUAUAAUUUUUAAAUUAUAGUAUCGAAGCUAACGCGUUAAGUAUCCCGCCUGGGAAGUAUGCUCGCAAGAGUGAAACUCAAAGGAAUUGACGGGGGCCCGCACAAGCGGUGGAGCAUGUGGUUUAAUUCGAUGCAACACGAAGAACCUUACCAGGGCUUGACAUGAAGAGAAGUUGUUUGAAAAAAUAAUAUGCUAAGGCCUCUUACACAGGUGGUGCAUGGCUGUUGUCAGCUCGUGUCGUGAGAUGUUGGGUUAAGUCCCGCAACGAGCGCAACCCUUAUCUUUAGUUAAUAUUCUAAAGAGACUGCCAAUUAUAAAUUGGAGGAAGGUGAGGACGACGUCAAGUCAUCAUGCCCCUUAUGCCCUGGGCUACACACGUGCUACAAUGGAUAUGACAAAAAGUUGCAAAUUUGUAAAAAUAAGCCAAUCUAUAAACAUAUUCUUAGUUCAGAUUGUAGGCUGCAACUCGCCUGCAUGAAGGUGGAAUCGCUAGUAAUCGCAAGUCAGCUAUAUUGCGGUGAAUCCGUUAUCGGGCCUUGUACACACCGCCCGUCACACCAUGGGAGCUAGCUCUACCCCAAGAUCUUGUUUUAAAGAAAAAACAGUUUAAAGGUAGGGUUGGUGACUGGGGUGAAGUCGUAACAAGGUAGCCGUAG
Molecule: ribosomal RNA, 1469 nt
Filed under: uncultured bacterium
Lineage: Bacteria
Description: bacterial SSU rRNA
Rfam family: Bacterial small subunit ribosomal RNA
Source: RNAcentral